Molecule: microRNA precursor, 154 nt
Filed under: Amborella trichopoda
Lineage: Eukaryota; Viridiplantae; Streptophyta; Magnoliopsida; Amborellales; Amborellaceae
Description: MIR8565 microRNA precursor family
Rfam family: MIR8565 microRNA precursor family
Source: Rfam by way of RNAcentral
UCCGUACCCAUGUAUGUAGGACCCCAAAGGAUCACCAUUAAAUUUGGUACAGAUCUUAACAAAAGUUAUCACAUGGGUGUGAGACUUGAUUUUUUUAUAGAUUUGUGCCCAAUUUAAUAGUGAUCAUUUGGGGUCCUACACACAUGGGUCUGGG